UCCGUAGGCGGUUUAGUAAGUCAGUGGUGAAAGCCCAUCGCUCAACGGUGGAACGGCCAUUGAUACUGCUAGACUUGAAUUAUUAGGAAGUAACUAGAAUAUGUAGUGUAGCGGUGAAAUGCUUAGAGAUUACAUGGAAUACCAAUUGCGAAGGCAGGUUACUACUAAUGGAUUGACGCUGAGGCGCGAAAGCGUGGGGAGCAAACAGGAUUAGAUACCCGCGUA
RNAcentral lists this ribosomal RNA (225 nucleotides) under uncultured Flavobacterium sp. RNAcentral's name for it is "partial 16S ribosomal RNA". It matches the Rfam family "Bacterial small subunit ribosomal RNA", at positions 568 to 792 of the family's 1533-position model. The record is from RNAcentral. Lineage: Bacteria; Pseudomonadati; Bacteroidota; Flavobacteriia; Flavobacteriales; Flavobacteriaceae.